Juglans microcarpa x Juglans regia is the source of this 2081-nucleotide RNA transcript. It is a transcript of the gene named ankyrin repeat and protein kinase domain-containing protein 1-like, with no coding region annotated. NCBI's taxonomy places the organism in Eukaryota, Viridiplantae, Streptophyta, Magnoliopsida, Fagales, Juglandaceae. The transcript is spliced from 5 exons. The record is from RefSeq and is a predicted model, not a curated record.
CCUUUCUUUCUUCCUAGCUCGAUCGAUACACCCUCAUUCUCUUGCGUCUCUGCUACCCCUUCCCAAACUUCCCAGCGCUGCUGAAGCCCAAGAUCAGCCUCCAUCUUCUCCGCUCGGUCUCCAUUGAAAAAGUGAAGGAACAACAAGAGAACGUUGGAGAGAAGGAUUUUCUUGAGUACUCUCUUGCUUUGCAUUGAGGCCUCCGCAGCUAGUAAUGAUGACUGUGCAGCAUACAGAGGCCAUCAUUGGAAUGGAUCCUAUUAUCUAUAAAGCGGCGGAACAAGGCAACCUGAGGGCCUUAGAAAAAAAUAUGAUAUCUCCCAUCUACUUGAUGAGUUUUUAACCGUUAAUAAAAAUACAAUCCUACAUAUUUGCAUUUCACUGAGGGUCAAAGAAAAGUUUCCCGCCACUGGAGGAACUGACCCUACCUCAGCGGUAAAAUUUGUGGAAGAUGUACUGUCCAAGUGUCCGUCACUUUUAUUGAAAGCCAACGCUGAAGACGAUACUCCGUUACAUGUUGCGGCAAGGUAUGGGCAUGCUUCGAUCGUUAAAGUUCUGAUUGAUUGUAAAAAAUCCCAACAUCAAGAUCUCGAAAGUGUCGUUGCUAUUAAGGAGAUGAUUACUAGGGAGAUGAUUGGAAUGCUGAACAAAAAGGGAGACACGACCAUACAUGAUGCUGUACGUCACAAUCACAUUGAAGUGGUAAAACAGUUACUAAGGGAGGUAGAUCGAGAAUUUUCGUUUGGUGCUAAUGGUGCUGGUGAGACCCCACUUUACUUGGCUGCCGAGAGACACUUUCCAGAUUUGGUAUCUGAAAUUUUGAACACAUUCCAAUCACCAGCUUAUGAUGGCCCCUUGGGUAGAACGGCUUUGCAUGCUGCAACAUUUUCAAAUGAUGCAGGAAUGACCGAAAACAUUUUGGAAAGAUAUGGUUGCGAUCUAUGUAAACAAUCAGACCAAAAAGGUUGGACUCCGUUUCACUUGGCUGCAUACUUGGAUUGCAUUUAGCCAACAAAACUAUUGCUGCAAUAUGGUAGAGAGGUAGCAUAUAUGAAAGACGCAGAGGGUAGGACAGCUCUUCACAUUACAGCUCAUCGCAACCAAGAAGGAGUAACAAAAGAGAUUGUAUCAAUGUGUCCGGAUUGUUGCGAAGUGGUUGACAAUGAAGGCCGCAAUGCACUCCAUCUCGCCAUGCACAGCCGCUGGCCAACUGCAGCGCUAAUCAUCCAAAAUAAUCCGUCUUUACGGAAUCUUUUGAAUCAGGAGGACAACGACGGGAAUGCACCUCUCCAUCACUAUUACAAUUCAGUUGGUUACACGAAGGGUGUCAUGAAUUCUCCAAGAGUUGACGAAAUGGUCUUCAACUCCAGAUUGCUUUUCAAAUCUUAAGAAGUAAACGCUUUCCAACCGAUGGUGAUGAGGUACAAUAUUCCGCUUUACAGAGGAAGCGGGACGAAUUUUGUAAAGGCCAAAACAAUCAUUGGUUCCUUUUUAAUGGAAGAGUAUUAGAAACUGGGUAUGAUGAAAUUGAGAAGGAGAAACAGCCAGAUGGGGAAGAGGAGAAAAAGAAUGAAGAGAUGGAUAAAGCGGCUCAAGCCCAUGUGGUAGUUGCUGCACUCAUUACAACCGUGACCUUUGCAGCAGGCAUUACCAUGCCAGGGGGCUUCAUUGGUGGAGAUGAUUACCAUCCAGGCUCUGCAGUUUUGGAAAAAAGUACUGCUUUUAAAGCAUUCAUCAUUACAAACGCCCUAGCAUUGAUGCUACUAGUUCUGCUGUCUUUAUCCACCUCUUUAUUCCGCUUAUCCUUUCUAAAUCCUUCUUCAGAUAUCGCUUAAGUUUUCUUCAAACGGCCUUUUGGUUCCUUAUUUCCUCCAUGGCACCAAUGGUUUUGGCAUUUGUCACAGGAACAUACGCUGUGUUGGAGCAUUCAAAUAUUGCAAUUCCCACUUGUAUUAUUUGCUUCCUUACCAUCCUUGUUUUUAUAUUUCUAAAACUACGGUUGUACCUAUGGAUGUAAGCGCAAUGCAAGGAUAUUGCUGAUUUGAUCAAUAAAAAUAUUAGGAGUACGGAACUUUUUUUUU